CCUACGGGAGGCAGCAGUGGGGAAUAUUGGACAAUGGGGGGAACCCUGAUCCAGCCAUGCCGCGUGUGUGAAGAAGGCCCUCGGGUUGUAAAGCACUUUCAGUGAGGAAGAACGCCUGGUGGUUAAUACCCAUCAGGAAAGACAUCACUCACAGAAGAAGCACCGGCUAACUCCGUGUCAGCAGCCGCGGUAAUACGGAGGGUGCGAGCGUUAAUCGGAAUUACUGGGCGUAAAGCGCGCGUAGGUGGCUUGAUAAGCCGGUUGUGAAAGCCCCGGGCUCAACCUGGGAACGGCAUCCGGAACUGUCAAGCUAGAGUGCAGGAGAGGAAGGUAGAAUUCCCGGUGUAGCGGUGAAAUGCGUAGAGAUCGGGAGGAAUACCAGUGGCGAAGGCGGCCUUCUGGACUGACACUGACACUGAGGUGCGAAAGCGUGGGUAGCAAACAGGAUUAGAUACCCUGGUAGUC
RNAcentral lists this ribosomal RNA (465 nucleotides) under Vreelandella stevensii. RNAcentral describes it as "partial 16S ribosomal RNA". It matches the Rfam family "Bacterial small subunit ribosomal RNA", at positions 338 to 795 of the family's 1533-position model. The record is from RNAcentral. Lineage: Bacteria; Pseudomonadati; Pseudomonadota; Gammaproteobacteria; Oceanospirillales; Halomonadaceae.